This 398-nucleotide ribosomal RNA is filed under the name uncultured Prevotella sp. Its description in RNAcentral is "bacterial SSU rRNA". It matches the Rfam family "Bacterial small subunit ribosomal RNA", at positions 355 to 750 of the family's 1533-position model. Lineage: Bacteria; Pseudomonadati; Bacteroidota; Bacteroidia; Bacteroidales; Prevotellaceae. The record is from RNAcentral.
UGAGGAAUAUUGGUCAAUGGGCGAGAGCCUGAACCAGCCAAGUAGCGUGCAGGAUGACGGCCCUACGGGUUGUAAACUGCUUUUAUGAAGGAAUAAAGUCACCCACGUGUGGGUGUUUGCAUGUACUUUAUGAAUAAGGACCGGCUAAUUCCGUGCCAGCAGCCGCGGUAAUACGGAAGGUCCGGGCGUUAUCCGGAUUUAUUGGGUUUAAAGGGAGCGUAGGCUGGAGAUUAAGCGUGUUGUGAAAUGCCGCGGCUCAACCGUGGCACUGCAGCGCGAACUGGUUUCCUUGAGUGCGCUGAAAGUGGGCGGAAUUUGUGGUGUAGCGGUGAAAUGCUUAGAUAUCACGAAGAACUCCGAUUGCGAAGGCAGCUCACUGUAUCGCGACUGACGCUGAA